UUUAUUAUUAUACAGCAACCCUAAAUAUCUAGUAAGACCAAGUCUUACCCCACUGAAUCUCUUCUCCCUCCGCUGCCUCAAAAACAACCUAACAAGUAAGAACAACUGCUGGGACUGACCCCUGACAAUGAAUAUAUACAUUUGAAAACAGUGGGAUUUUGUUGUUACUGUUUUUGUUUUUCAUAUGAUUGUUUUAUAAUGUGUGUAGUUCAACAGUUGUGUUUGACUUUAUAGGAAAAUCCUGUUAGCUACACAGUCAAUCUAGUAACUGAAUCAGUACAUCCUAUGUUCUGUAGUGUCCCGAGGGAGUUCCUGGAGAGCAUGAAUGGUAGAAAAGGUGGCAAAAGCAAGAACAAUGUAGAUGAGUUUAUAGCCAAUUGUGGACAGGGUAGAUGAACCCAGAGCAAGAUGUGAACAGGGAACAUAAAAGCAGACCACGAUGUGAACAGGACGGAUGAAGUCAGAGCAAGAUGUGAACAGGGCAGGUGAGGCAGAGCAGAAGGGGAACAGGAUAGAUGAAUACCACAGGACAAUGGGAAUAGGGUAGAUGACCCCAGACACAGAUGUGACAGGUUAAAUGAGUCCAGAGAAAAACGUAAACAUGGUAAAUGAAUCUACAGCGAGAUGUCAACAGGGUAAAUGAACCAAGAGCAGGAUGUGAAGAAGACAGAUGAACGCAAAGCAAGCUCUGUACUCUGGAGAAGAAGCCACAAUGAGAUAUUAAUAGGGUUGAUAGAGUCUAAAAUAAAAUGUCAGCAGUGUAUAUGAACCAAGAGCAAGGUGUGAAGAAGGUAGAUAAAAUCACAGCAAAGUGUGUACUUCAUAGAUGAACCCACAUCAAAAUUUGUAUAGGGUAUUCUACAGCAAGAUGUGAGCAGGGUAGAUGAAUGUGCCAGCAAUAUGGGAAGGUAAUACAUAGUAAAACAGACCAAAAAGUUGUUUUUUGGAACUUUGGUUUACUUGUCUAAAAAUGAAAAGGAAAAUAUUCUAGUUAACACUGGGUCGUCCCACUUAAAGUAUUCUGAUAGUAAAAAUUAUUAUUGGAUGGCUUAUGUUUUAAGUGAUUGCAAUUAGAUUCUAUUUUACAAUCAAGAUGAACUGUCAUAGGCAUCAAAAAUCUGUGCUAUUUGUUUACACUGAAUAGUGUAGAUACAACAAAUUAACGAGUGUUUGUUCACUUCUGUUGAGGUGAUAGGAUGUGGAGGAAUGGAGCCAAUAAAUGAAGUGGACUACAGUCUCGGGAAACAACCAACUUUAUUUAGAGUAUCAGACAAUGUAUACUCUGAAGUCUUCUACUAAGAUGGUCCAGUAAGCUUUGCUUAUAGUGCGCAACCAUUUUCCCAGUCCAAAGUCCCCCAAACAUCUGUAUUUCUUCAAAAAUCCACGAUGGUCAGUCCUAACCUGCUCUCUGAUGCCAACUUGGAUCGUAAUUUUCUAUUAGUGAAAUAAAGCAUCACGAAUAAAGUGAGUAGUAGAAUAAUAAAGCUUAUUUGGGGCUCAU
This is a non-coding RNA of Rattus norvegicus (Norway rat), 1501 nucleotides long. NCBI's taxonomy places the organism in Eukaryota, Metazoa, Chordata, Mammalia, Rodentia, Muridae. The record is from RefSeq and is a predicted model, not a curated record.